RNAcentral lists this long non-coding RNA (1263 nucleotides) under Papio anubis (olive baboon). Its description in RNAcentral is "lncRNA (ENSPANG00000040874.1)". The record is from RNAcentral. Lineage: Eukaryota; Metazoa; Chordata; Mammalia; Primates; Cercopithecidae.
UCACACAACUAUAACAAUGUGUUCGUUUUUUAUAUUUAGGUUUUUAGAGAAACAUUUCUGUUAUUACAAAAAAACAGUGUUAAAAGAAGCUUUUACAUAAAGUAUUUCUGAACCAUCUUUUUUGACAGAUUUUUUUUGGAACAGAGUUGAAAUAACUGUGGUUCAUUCAAUGUAUUGAUAAAUUAUUCAAAAAAGGUACUUCAAUAUCUCCAACAUUAUACUUUGCAUUUAUCACAACUGUCAAUCAAUCAGCACACAUUUCUAUGCAUGUUGACAAUUCUGAUGGCCACUAUCUUUUGUUUCUGCUCUGUCAUCCAGGCUGAAGCACAAAGGCAUUAUCAAAGCUCACUGCAGCCUCAAGUUCCUGGGCUCAAGUGAUCCUCUCAUCUCAGCCUCGUCUACUUUGUUGUUUUUAUUUUGUAAUUUUGGUAUAAGUUUAUUCAUCUACUGUGGAUUUCCAUCAAACAACACAUCUUCAUUGCAGCUACAUUAAAAUACAAUUUUCUCCCUCAUAUAGUUAUGUGAGAAUAGAGAUCAUACCUGUACUGCUCAUCAUGAUAUUUUCAACAUCUGGUACUGUGGUUUGAAUUGGAUCUGAACACAUUCUCUGGAGUUAAACUGCCGAGGUGUAAAUACUGGCUCAGUCACUUAGCAAUUAUGUGAGGUUGGCUAAAUGACUUCACCAGUCUUUAUGAAGAUUAAAUGAUGUAAUAUUUGAACAGUGCCUAGAAGAGGAUCUAUCUGGCAUAUUAUAAAACUAUGCAAAUGAGGUCUUGGAUUUGCAUCUACUUCUCACUCAGUUGAUUUUCAAAUUACAGUUGACCCUUGGAAAACACAGGUUUGAACAGUGCGUAUUCACAUAUACAACGAUUUUUUUCCUGCCUCUGCACCUCCUGAGACAGAAAGACUACCCUCUCCUCAUCCUUCUCCUCAUCCUAUUCAAUGUGAAGACAAGAAUGAAGACCUUUAUGAUGAUGUAUUUCUACUCAAGGAAUAAUAAACAUAGUGUGUCUGCCUUAUAAUUUUCUUAAUCACAUUUUCUCUACCUUUAUUUUUAAAAAUACAGUAUAUAAUAUAUAUAUAACAUACAAAAUAUAUGUUAAUUGAAAGUUUAUGUCUUCAGUGAGGCUUCCAUUCAACAGUAAUCUGUGAGUUAAGUUUUGGAGGAGUUAAAAGUUAUACCAGGGUUUUCAACUGUUUCCCUAAUCCCUAAGUUGUUCAAGGGUUGCUUGAAUUUGUAAUUGUUGUGGGACUUGUCACUCA